Molecule: ribosomal RNA, 376 nt
Filed under: uncultured bacterium
Lineage: Bacteria
Description: bacterial SSU rRNA
Rfam family: Bacterial small subunit ribosomal RNA
Source: RNAcentral
UAAUACAGAGGGUGCAAGCGUUAAUCGGAAUUACUGGGCGUAAAGCGUGCGUAGACGGUUAUGUAAGUCAGAUGUGAAAGCCCCGGGCUCAACCUGGGAAUUGCAUUUGAGACUGCAUAGCUAGGGUGCGGAAGAGGGAAGCGGAAUUUCCGGUGUAGCGGUGAAAUGCGUAGAUAUCGGAAGGAACACCAGUGGCGAAAGCGGCUUCCUGGUCCAGCACCGACGUUCAGGCACGAAAGCGUGGGGAGCAAACAGGAUUAGAUACCCUGGUAGUCCACGCCAUAAACGAUGAGAACUAGACGUUGAGAGGGUAAGCCUCCCAGUGUCGCAGCUAACGCGAUAAGUUCUCCGCCUGGGGAGUACGGCCGCAAGGUUG